This 795-nucleotide ribosomal RNA is filed under the name uncultured Pelagibacteraceae bacterium. RNAcentral describes it as "bacterial SSU rRNA". It matches the Rfam family "Bacterial small subunit ribosomal RNA", at positions 44 to 887 of the family's 1533-position model. The record is from RNAcentral. Lineage: Bacteria; Pseudomonadati; Pseudomonadota; Alphaproteobacteria; Candidatus Pelagibacterales; Candidatus Pelagibacteraceae.
ACGCCUAACACAUGCAAGUCGAACGCAGUAGCAAUACUGAGUGGCAAACGGGUGAGUAUAAUGUGGGAAUCUGCCUUUUGGUUUGGAAUAACACGGGGAAACUUGUGCUAAUACCGAAUAAGCCUUUACAGGGAAAGUUUUAAUGCCGAAAGAUGAGCCCGCACUUGAUUAGCUAGUUGGUAAGGUAAAAGCUUACCAAGGCAAUGAUCAAUAGCUGUUCUUAGAGGAAGACCAGCCACAUUGGGACUGAGACACGGCCCAGACUCCUACGGGAGGCAGCAGUGGGGAAUCUUGCACAAUGGGGGAAACCCUGAUGCAGCGAUGCCGCGUGAGUGAAGAAGGCCUUUGGGUUGUAAAACUCUUUCGUCGGGGAAGAAAAUGACUGUACCCGAAUAAGAAGGUCCGGCUAACUUCGUGCCAGCAGCCGCGGUAAUACGAAGGGACCUAGCGUAGUUCGGAAUUACUGGGCUUAAAGAGCUCGUAGGUGGUUAAAAAAGUUGAUGGUGAAAUCCCAAGGCUCAACCUUGGAACUGCCAUCAAAACUUUUUAGCUAGAGUGUGAUAGAGGUAAGUGGAAUUUCUAGUGUAGAGGUGAAAUUCGUAGAUAUUAGAAAGAACACCAAAUGCGAAGGCAACUUACUGGGUCACUACUGACACUGAGGAGCGAAAGCAUGGGUAGCGAAGAGGAUUAGAUACCCUCGUAGUCCAUGCCGUAAACGAUGUGUGCUAGACGUUGGAAAUAUAUUUUUCAGUGUCGCAGCGAAAGCAUUAAGCACACCGCCUGGGGAGUACGACC